RNAcentral lists this unclassified non-coding RNA (280 nucleotides) under uncultured fungus. Its description in RNAcentral is "partial contains 5.8S ribosomal RNA, internal transcribed spacer 2, and large subunit ribosomal RNA". Lineage: Eukaryota; Fungi. The record is from RNAcentral.
AACGCAACUUGCACUCUGUUUCGGCAGAGUAUGUCUGUCUGAGAACCACAACACAUGCCGCCGGAAGGUGGGCGAGUUGGGGGCAUGCGGGGGGGCAACCGCCGCAUCCCGCUGAAAGGGGGACGGGCCGUGGGCGAGUCAGAACAGGAGCCUGUAACAGGGCGUGCCGGUUGGUCGCAGACGGUCCGGGUGCCGGUGGGCGGGGCGUCCGCAGCAGGGCGUGCCCGGCGCACCACAGGCAGUUGGUCUCAGAUCAGGCAGGACUACCCGCUGAACUUAA